Molecule: long non-coding RNA, 546 nt
Organism: Andrographis paniculata
Lineage: Eukaryota; Viridiplantae; Streptophyta; Magnoliopsida; Lamiales; Acanthaceae
Exons: 4
Source: RefSeq, a predicted model, not a curated record
CCGGCUUGGCAUUUCGGUGAUCAUGUCGAGGUGCAAGGUGUUGCGAGGUUCAUGUAUAUCCAAUACUAUGAUGUUAUCAAUGCCGGAGAGCCUCAGAAAGUCGAGAUUUUGCAGCAAUGUGUUCCAAGGGAAAGAGAAGCAUUAUCAGUCAUUACAGAAUUACCAUCAGUUAUAAUUCAAAAGAAAAUCAUAUGGAUUUUAAUAAAGUCCCAGAAGAGGAUGUCAAGGAAGAGAAUAGAGGAAGUGCGAAAAGAAAGAAAAAGGGAAGGAGGUAAAUAGCGUGAGCCUAAAAUUAUCAUAAAAGGGAAGCGGGAAGUAGGAAUUAGCUUUCGAUGAGAGAUCCAAGCUUCAAUUUCCGAGACUUUUGGUCGCCAAUCGGAAGCUCUAUGGAAGAAAAUGGCAACAACCAAUGGAGCAUUGACUUCAGCUGCAGGAAGUCAGGCCAACAACCAAAAUCUGAGGCGUGGAAGAAACACUCGAAGCGCUGAACGCAGCGGAUCGGUGCAGAGGAAGAAUCUGCCAAUCGGCUGAUGGACACCACCACCG